AGCACAAAUGAUGAAUACUAGGGACUUAAUACUGAAGUCUGAUGUGACUUUGAUAUAAACUGAUGUGC
This is a small nucleolar RNA of Chelonoidis abingdonii (Abingdon island giant tortoise), 68 nucleotides long. Its record names the gene SNORD82. It matches the Rfam family "Small nucleolar RNA SNORD82". From Rfam's summary of the family: snoRNA U82 or Z25 is found in both humans and mice. U82/Z25 is a member of the C/D class of snoRNA which contain C (UGAUGA) and D (CUGA) box motifs. Lineage: Eukaryota; Metazoa; Chordata; Testudines; Testudinidae. The record is from Ensembl.